GUAGUCCACGCCCUAAACGAUGUCGAUUAGCUGUUGGGCAGCUUGACUGCUUAGUAGCGAAGCUAACGCGUGAAAUCGACCGCCUGGGGAGUACGGUCGCAAGAUUAAAACUCAAAGGAAUUGACGGGGACCCGCACAAGCGGUGGAUGAUGUGGAUUAAUUCGAUGCAACGCGAAGAACCUUACCUGGUCUUGACAUGUACGGAACCCUCCAGAGACGGAGGGGUGCCUUCGGGAGCCGUAACACAGGUGCUGCAUGGCUGUCGUCAGCUCGUGUCGUGAGAUGUUGGGUUAAGUCCCGCAACGAGCGCAACCCUUGUCAUUAGUUGCCAUCAUUAAGUUGGGCACUCU
RNAcentral lists this ribosomal RNA (350 nucleotides) under uncultured Neisseria sp. RNAcentral describes it as "bacterial SSU rRNA". It matches the Rfam family "Bacterial small subunit ribosomal RNA", at positions 790 to 1141 of the family's 1533-position model. Lineage: Bacteria; Pseudomonadati; Pseudomonadota; Betaproteobacteria; Neisseriales; Neisseriaceae. The record is from RNAcentral.